AUGCUGAGGAAUUGUGAGGAAUUGAGUGUCCUUUUUUUUUUUUUUUUUUUUUUUUUUAAUAUAUUUCUGGUUAGCUCCGCAUUAAGAUCAGCAGAAGACCAGGUACUCAGCACAGUUAGUUCUUUCUUUCUCCUUUUCCCCUUGAAGUGGAACAUGGUCAAUAUUCAUGUAAUUAACGAUUAACGCUGAUAUGGAAAUAUACUCUGUAGUGAAUUCUUAUGAUGUGGAUUUUUGUUGUUUUUGUUACUGGUUGCUGGGAUUUUUUUUUUCUUUUCAUUUUUUUAUCUUAUUUUUUAGACACUUGUCCUGACAAUUGCUGAUAAAAGGCAGGGAGUGAACAGAAGGGCCUGGCUGGGAAUAGAGGCUCCAAAUCACUGGACUGGGCAAAAUUUUAGCUAAAUAUAAGGGCCUGGCAAAAUAUGAUUACUCUGUAACUGACUUCAUGCAGUCCUGGAUUACACCCAUGUAGACUAAAGUGUACAUUUAAACAUCUAUCACUUAUGUUAUAUCCACCAAGAAAUCUCACCCCAGAAGGUGUUUGUGCAUUUUUUAUGAUAGUCAUACCCUGCACAGAUGGCAAGUAUAUAAAUUGUAUCCUGGUUUUUGCAGCCCUGUGCAGGCCUCUGAUAUGAAAUGAAGCACAGAGCAGUGUGAUACCAAAUACUCACUGAAAUUAGAGAUAAUCCCUAUGCAAGAUGCAAAUUUGCACCAGUUGGACCAAAAAUUGCCAGUGAAAUCUUCUUAGACAUCAUAAUUGCAUUGUACCAAGUGAUGGACAAUUAGCAAGUUCAAAACUCCUUUUAGCAUAUUGAUUACAUAGCUUUUACUGUAUAUUGUCGUGAUUCUUUCCUUCUCUGCCUCUGAGGCCUUUUCCUACAAGCCCGCAAAGAGUUGUGCAUAACCUCAUUGCCUAGGUCUACUUCGCAAUUAUUUAAAGAAGCAUAUCAAACUUGUAGCUUGAAGACAGAGUUUGAUAAAUUAUCUUGUUUAUCAUAAGGGUUCCCUUACGUAUGUAACAGCCUAUGGUCAUCAUAUACUAAAUAGUUCAAAGGUACAAAUCCAUCAUAAUUCAUGUCUAAACAGUUCAACAGUUCUCAAAUUAUUUGUGGUUCAGAAUUUAAUACAGGCAUUUUAACUUUCCAUUCUUUUUUUUUUUUUUUUUGGUUCCCCAAGUAGAUGUUGCAAUAUUUUUUUUUCUUUGUAAACUACAUUUAGAUCCAUCUUCUCUUCUCCAUCAAAAGGUGACAUAUUCUCUGUAUCAACCAAGAUAUCUGAACAGAGCUAUAUAUUUGAGCUUAUAAUAAUUUUGAUAACAUGCUCUUGCUGAGUUUUUUAGUUUAAGUAAUUAGGGAGCAGGCUUUCAGUUUCAAGGAAGAAUUAUGCAGUUAUUCUGAGUUAGACACAUACCUACUCCAAAAUGUCAGUUAGCCAGAUAUUUGAGGCAUUGACAUAUAUUUAGAUAUUCCAAUGAAACAGAUGGGAAAAAAAGGUUGAGAACAGAAAAAACGUAAUUGUGAAAAAUCUUCUGAGCCACAGAAAAGGCUACUUCUCUACUUUCCAACAAAAUCCUGAGGUUGUCUUUUCAGUAAAACAUCUGUCCAAUUUUGUUACUACUGUCUAGGACGUUUCUUACCAUUGCCAUUUGAUUGCUCAUACAGAGGGAUUUAUGUUCUGGAUCACAGUACUUGAUUUCCAGGUGUGGUGUCUGGCAGUAGGCAAAUUUACUAUUAUUAAAUUUUGUUGAGUCAGCAAAUUUCCAAUAUCAUGCAAGCUCUUUCUACCUGUCUCUAUUUGAGUUAAGUUUAAUGUUUUCCACUCUUUCAAUCAGAUAUAUUCUGAUUGAAUUUAUUUUCUCUGUAUUCCCUAAACUAUAUAUAAAUAAAUAAAUAAAUAAAUGAGCCUGCGUUACCCA
This 1912-nucleotide long non-coding RNA is filed under the name Anser cygnoides (Swan goose). RNAcentral describes it as "lncRNA (ENSACDG00005010351.1)". Lineage: Eukaryota; Metazoa; Chordata; Aves; Anseriformes; Anatidae. The record is from RNAcentral.